AGCUUUGCGCAGUGGCAGCAUCGUAGCCAAUGAGGUUUAUCCGAGGCACGAUUGUUGCUAAUUAAAGUCAUGAUGGUAACACACAAGAGGCAAUUAAUGAAUGACACAAGUUA
This 113-nucleotide small nuclear RNA is filed under the name Canis lupus familiaris (dog). RNAcentral describes it as "U4 spliceosomal RNA (ENSCAFG00000043053.2, ENSCAFG00030019509.1, ENSCAFG00845002394.1)". It matches the Rfam family "U4 spliceosomal RNA". Rfam says of the family: U4 small nuclear RNA (U4 snRNA) is a component of the major U2-dependent spliceosome. The structure of U4 snRNA from yeast and human has been reported. RNAcentral also lists the same sequence under 1 other name. The record is from Rfam by way of RNAcentral. Lineage: Eukaryota; Metazoa; Chordata; Mammalia; Carnivora; Canidae.